RNAcentral lists this ribosomal RNA (356 nucleotides) under Clostridioides sp. ZZV14-6044. RNAcentral describes it as "partial 23S ribosomal RNA". It matches the Rfam family "Bacterial large subunit ribosomal RNA", at positions 1 to 357 of the family's 2925-position model. The record is from RNAcentral. Lineage: Bacteria; Bacillati; Bacillota; Clostridia; Peptostreptococcales; Peptostreptococcaceae. RNAcentral also lists the same sequence under 1 other name.
GGUCAAGUUAUUAAGGGUGCAGGGCGGAUGCCUUGGCACUAGGAGCCGAUGAAGGACGCGAUAAGCUGCGAUAAGCUUCGGGGAGUUGCACGUAAACUUUGAUCCGAAGAUUUCCGAAUGAGGAAACUCACUUAGAGUAAUGUCUAAGUAUCAUUAAGUGAAUACAUAGCUUAAUGAGGGGAACUCAGGGAACUGAAACAUCUAAGUACCUGAAGGAAGAGAAAGAAAUUCGAUUCCGUAAGUAGCGGCGAGCGAACGCGGAAUAGCCCAAACCAAUAAAGUUUUCUUUAUUGGGGUUGCGGACAUAUCUUAAACGAAGAGGUAUCGUAAUUGAAGAGGUUUGGAAAGACCCACCA